Molecule: non-coding RNA, 26 nt
Filed under: Cricetulus griseus (Chinese hamster)
Lineage: Eukaryota; Metazoa; Chordata; Mammalia; Rodentia; Cricetidae
Source: RNAcentral
GGGAAUGAGACUCUUGAGCCCUGACC